RNAcentral lists this non-coding RNA (177 nucleotides) under Metabacillus harenarius. RNAcentral describes it as "Bacillus weihaiensis T-box sequence". It matches the Rfam family "T-box leader". Rfam says of the family: Uncharged tRNA acts as the effector for transcription antitermination of genes in the T-box leader family. T-boxes are found upstream of many aminoacyl-tRNA synthetase genes and some amino acid biosynthetic genes usually in Gram-positive bacteria. The record is from RNAcentral. Lineage: Bacteria; Bacillati; Bacillota; Bacilli; Caryophanales; Bacillaceae.
AACUCUGUGUUGAAGGAAAGAAGUAAUUAUGUUUCUCUAAUGGAAGCGACCUUAGGUUGGUGUGAGCUAAGGAUUAGACCAUAAUGAAAGGCAUUCUGGAGCAGUUUGAUAAAAGUGGCUUUUUGAAUUGACAAAAAGCAAAUAGGGUGGAACCGCGGGUAAGCUCUCGUCCCUAUG